AGAAUCAACGCUGGCGGCGUGCCUAACACAUGCAAGUCGAACGCGGUUUGCCCGCAAGGGCAGACUGAGUGGCGAACGGGUGAGUAACACGUGGGUGACCUACCUUCGAGUGGGGGAUAACGUCCCGAAAGGGACGCUAAUACCGCAUAACAUCCUGCCUUUGAACAGGCGGAGAUCAAAGCCGGGGAUCGCAAGACCUGGCGCUUGAUGAGGGGCCCGCGUCCGAUUAGCUAGUUGGUGAGGUAACGGCUCACCAAGGCGACGAUCGGUAACC
This 274-nucleotide ribosomal RNA is filed under the name uncultured bacterium. RNAcentral's name for it is "partial small subunit ribosomal RNA". It matches the Rfam family "Bacterial small subunit ribosomal RNA", at positions 26 to 288 of the family's 1533-position model. The record is from RNAcentral.